GAAAUGCGAUAAGUAAUGUGAAUUGCAGAAUUCAGUGAAUCAUCGAAUCCUUGAACGCACAUUGCGCCCGCCAGUAUUCUGGCGGGCAUGCCUGUCCGAGCGUCAUUUCAACCAUCAAGCCCCCGGGCUUGUGUUGGGGACCUGCGGCUGCCCGCAGGCCCUGAAAACCAGUGGCGGGCUCGCUGUCACACCGAGCGUAGUAGCAAUCACCUCGCUCAGGACGUGCUGCGGGUUCCGGCCGUUAAACAGCCUUACAAAACCCAAGGUUGACCUCGGAUCAGGUAGGAAGACCCGCUGAACUUAAGC
Molecule: unclassified non-coding RNA, 306 nt
Filed under: plant metagenome
Description: partial contains 5.8S ribosomal RNA, internal transcribed spacer 2, and large subunit ribosomal RNA
Rfam family: 5.8S ribosomal RNA (bases 1-105)
Source: RNAcentral